RNAcentral lists this ribosomal RNA (253 nucleotides) under uncultured bacterium. RNAcentral describes it as "partial 16S ribosomal RNA". It matches the Rfam family "Bacterial small subunit ribosomal RNA", at positions 524 to 776 of the family's 1533-position model. The record is from RNAcentral.
UACGUAGGUGGCAAGCGUUGUCCGGAUUUACUGGGCGUAAAGAGCGCGCAGGCGGUCGUUCAAGUCGCGUGUGAAAGCCCCCGGCUCAACUGGGGAGGGUCACGCGAUACUGAUCGACUCGAAGGCAGGAGAGGGUAGUGGAAUUCCCGGUGUAGUGGUGAAAUGCGUAGAUAUCGGGAGGAACACCAGUGGCGAAGGCGUUCUGCUGGGCCGUUGCUGACACUGAGGCGCGACAGCGUGGGGAGCAAACAGG